UUAAAUUGAAGAGUUUGAUCAUGGCUCAGAUUGAACGCUGGCGGCAGGCCUAACACAUGCAAGUCGAACGGUAACAGGAAGCAGCUUGCUGCUUCGCUGACGAGUGGCGGACGGGUGAGUAAUGUCUGGGAAACUGCCUGAUGGAGGGGGAUAACUACUGGAAACGGUAGCUAAUACCGCAUAACGUCGCAAGACCAAAGAGGGGGACCUUCGGGCCUCUUGCCAUCGGAUGUGCCCAGAUGGGAUUAGC
Molecule: ribosomal RNA, 250 nt
Filed under: Escherichia coli
Lineage: Bacteria; Pseudomonadati; Pseudomonadota; Gammaproteobacteria; Enterobacterales; Enterobacteriaceae
Description: partial 16S ribosomal RNA
Rfam family: Bacterial small subunit ribosomal RNA
Source: RNAcentral